GAUGAAGAACGUAGCGAAAUGCGAUAAGUAAUGUGAAUUGCAGAAUUCAGUGAAUCAUCGAAUCUUUGAACGCACAUUGCGCCCCUUGGUAUUCCGAGGGGCAUGCCUGUUCGAGCGUCAUUAUAACCCCUCAAGCUCAGCUUGGUGUUGGGGCCUGCUGCACUGGCAGCCCUUAAAAUCAGUGGCGGCGCCAUCUGGCUCUAAGCGUAGUAAUUCUUCUCGCUAUGGAGUCCUGGUGGAUGCUUGCCAUCAACCCCCAAUUUUUCUCUGGUUGACCUCGGAUCAGGUAGGGAUACCCGCUGAACUUAAGCAUAUCAAUAAGCGGAGGA
This 329-nucleotide unclassified non-coding RNA is filed under the name soil metagenome. Its description in RNAcentral is "partial contains 5.8S ribosomal RNA, internal transcribed spacer 2, and large subunit ribosomal RNA". The stretch from base 1 to 120 matches the Rfam family "5.8S ribosomal RNA", at positions 35 to 154 of the family's 154-position model. The record is from RNAcentral.